This 351-nucleotide transfer-messenger RNA is filed under the name Leptospiraceae bacterium. It matches the Rfam family "transfer-messenger RNA". Rfam says of the family: Bacterial tmRNA, also known as 10Sa RNA or SsrA, is named for its dual tRNA and mRNA-like properties. Its role is to liberate the mRNA from a stalled ribosome. The record is from RNAcentral. Lineage: Bacteria; Pseudomonadati; Spirochaetota; Leptospiria; Leptospirales; Leptospiraceae.
GGGGGCGACUCUGGUUUCGACUGUUGCUCGUUUUGGUAUAGUUGCAUGUAAGGGGUGAGGGGCCUCUUUAAAAAACCUUCAACAAAAUAAACGCUAACAACGAAUUAGCUCUAGCUGCUUAAUUAAGCAACUACAUUCGGUUUCUCAAUAUCUCCUGAGGGUUUCCGGGUGUCACUUUAUGGAGGUCUGUUCUUUCGUUUGUCGAUUCGCGAAAAAAGCAGUAUUUCGGAUCGGAUUGGGAGAAACUACCUGGUUGUGGGUUAAGUUUUCCUGAAAUUCAUAUACAGCCUAAACAUGUAGAGGCUAUAUUAAGGCACAAUAGGACGCGGGUUCGAAUCCCGCCGUCUCCAA